AGUCGAGCGGACAGAUGGGAGCUUGCUCCCUGAUGUUAGCGGCGGACGGGUGAGUAACACGUGGGUAACCUGCCUGUAAGACUGGGAUAACUCCGGGAAACCGGGGCUAAUACCGGAUGCUUGUUUGAACCGCAUGGUUCAAACAUAAAAGGUGGCUUCGGCUACCACUUACAGAUGGACCCGCGGCGCAUUAGCUAGUUGGUGAGGUAAUGGCUCACCAAGGCAACGAUGCGUAGCCGACCUGAGAGGGUGAUCGGCCACACUGGGACUGAGACACGGCCCAGACUCCUACGGGAGGCAGCAGUAGGGAAUCUUCCGCAAUGGACGAAAGUCUGACGGAGCAACGCCGCGUGAGUGAUGAAGGUUUUCGGAUCGUAAAGCUCUGUUGUUAGGGAAGAACAAGUGCCGUUCAAAUAGGGCGGCACCUUGACGGUACCUAACCAGAAAGCCACGGCUAACUACGUGCCAGCAGCCGCGGUAAUACGUAGGUGGCAAGCGUUGUCCGGAAUUAUUGGGCGUAAAGGGCUCGCAGGCGGUUUCUUAAGUCUGAUGUGAAAGCCCCCGGCUCAACCGGGGAGGGUCAUUGGAAACUGGGGAACUUGAGUGCAGAAGAGGAGAGUGGAAUUCCACGUGUAGCGGUGAAAUGCGUAGAGAUGUGGAGGAACACCAGUGGCGAAGGCGACUCUCUGGUCUGUAACUGACGCUGAGGAGCGAAAGCGUGGGGAGCGAACAGGAUUAGAUACCCUGGUAGUCCACGCCGUAAACGAUGAGUGCUAAGUGUUAGGGGGUUUCCGCCCCUUAGUGCUGCAGCUAACGCAUUAAGCACUCCGCCUGGGGAGUACGGUCGCAAGACUGAACUCAAAGGAAUUGACGGGGGCCCGCACAAGCGGUGGA
This 894-nucleotide ribosomal RNA is filed under the name Bacillus sp. L-1-12. Its description in RNAcentral is "bacterial SSU rRNA". It matches the Rfam family "Bacterial small subunit ribosomal RNA", at positions 60 to 936 of the family's 1533-position model. The record is from RNAcentral. Lineage: Bacteria; Bacillati; Bacillota; Bacilli; Caryophanales; Bacillaceae.